CCAACCGGCCAGUGAUCGAAAGUCCUGCGCCAUAUUGGAAAUAUCUCCUCAAAAUUGGACUAAAUGUGGUGUUUGUUAUUGUGCGCCUGCCAGGCAUUGUCUCCCCCCCCGCGAAAUAAGUCACCAAAGAAAUUUCCUUCAAUAUAGAUAGUUUGUCUUUUGGUUUAAAAUUUAAAGUCUUCCCAUAUGAACGCGUUAAUGACCGACGUUGUCCGGUGACCUGCCCCCUGAGGUCUUGAAUCAGUGCCGAAGGCAACUUGAUUUUGCGUAACUCUCCCUUCAUCAGCUGGAAGUUUCUCUGAAAAAAAAAAAAUAAACCCAACCAAUUGGAAAGACAACCGCUUCUGGACUCUCCAAACUUCAAAAAACAGAUUUUGCUGCAAGGUGUUGAAGACCAGACCAGUUACACAUGCACGCAAAGGGAUUCCACUGUUCCACAUUUGCCCCUGGUGCGUCCUGCUUAGUAUAUGCGACCUCCCUGGCGAUCAAACCUUUCCCCUGGCCUGGUCAG
Molecule: long non-coding RNA, 511 nt
Organism: Xiphias gladius (swordfish)
Lineage: Eukaryota; Metazoa; Chordata; Actinopteri; Istiophoriformes; Xiphiidae
Exons: 3
Source: RefSeq, a predicted model, not a curated record